UAUUACAUGUAAGAACUACUCCCCAACACCGCUUCACUGCUAUGAGGAUGACAACACAUCAAACCAGAAUAUACUUCCCAGUAAUGUGGCAUGUAGUUCUGCCUGCUUCUAGUGAAGUUAUUUUCUCAUGAAAUAAAACAGAAGUGAAGAGCAGGAAUGUAAGAGUCUAACGGGACAGUUUCCCAGGAAGGGGUUAAGAUUAAGAGACUCCUCCUCCUACUAGUAUGUAAUGAACUCUUAGCUAAUGCAUUUCAGACGUACUCAUAUCUCAUUCUUAAUAACGUAUCUCUAAGUCAUAAGGACCCAGAGGAAGCAGUGGGAACCAGCCAGAAACACGAUCCACCACCAUCAUGAUUUCCAAUGCCGUAAAAUCCAUGUUGAAGGAAGUAGAUUCUAACGGUACCCUGAUCCCUGUGUCCAGUCUGAACGACAGCUCUGGUAACUGAAUCUCCUCUCACUCAUUGUGAAGACCAAGCCCAGAUGUGGAUGCUUCUGGCAGGAACCGAAAUACCAGUCCAGAGGCUUUCCCUGAGUGAUGUGCUGAUUCUGGAGAACCUGAAGACAAACUUUAAACCCAGAUGUGAAGGAGUCUGACUUCGUGGACCACAGUGGGACAUUUGGUGACAAGAAAGAAAUGAACUCAGAAGGAAAUGUGGAGGGAUUGGCAGCUGAUUUAAAACUUAACUUGGGCUUAAAAAGCUUCAGCGAACAAGAGUCGUCCUUUGGCAGACUGAAGAAAGAGGAGGUGGAAGUGAAGGAGUUGGUUAACUAUUCGAAAAACAAUGUAGAUGAAGGGGAGGAGACAGGAUCGGGAUCCCUAUACCGGGACGGUUGAGCUAACGUGUGCUAAUGUCAUUAGCAUGGCAGUUGUAAGUAACAUCAAACUUUCCAGAACAUAGACAUGUCUUAUAUGUGAAUAAAGCUUAAACUCUUGUUAAUCUAA
Non-coding RNA from Salvelinus sp. IW2-2015, 943 nucleotides. Lineage: Eukaryota; Metazoa; Chordata; Actinopteri; Salmoniformes; Salmonidae. The record is from RefSeq and is a predicted model, not a curated record.